AAUGCCGGAUGCUCCAUCACACCGCAUGGUGUGUUGGGAAAGCCUUUGCGGCAUGGGAUGGGGUCGCGUCCUAUCAGCUUGAUGGCGGGGUAACGGCCCACCAUGGCUUCGACGGGUAGCCGGCCUGAGAGGGCGACCGGCCACAUUGGGACUGAGAUACGGCCCAGACUCCUACGGGAGGCAGCAGUGGGGAAUAUUGCACAAUGGGCGCAAGCCUGAUGCAGCGACGCCGCGUGAGGGAUGGAGGCCUUCGGGUUGUAAACCUCUUUUGUUAGGGAGCAAGGCAUUUUGUGUUGAGUGUACCUUUCGAAUAAGCACCGGCUAACUACGUGCCAGCAGCCGCGGUAAUACGUAGGGUGCAAGCGUUAUCCGGAAUUAUUGGGCGUAAAGGGCUCGUAGGCGGUUCGUCGCGUCCGGUGUGAAAGUCCAUCGCUUAACGGUGGAUCCGCGCCGGGUACGGGCGGGCUUGAGUGCGGUAGGGGAGACUGGAAUUCCCGGUGUAACGGUGGAAUGUGUAGAUAUCGGG
RNAcentral lists this ribosomal RNA (526 nucleotides) under Bifidobacterium breve. Its description in RNAcentral is "bacterial SSU rRNA". It matches the Rfam family "Bacterial small subunit ribosomal RNA", at positions 165 to 701 of the family's 1533-position model. Lineage: Bacteria; Bacillati; Actinomycetota; Actinomycetes; Bifidobacteriales; Bifidobacteriaceae. The record is from RNAcentral.